RNAcentral lists this ribosomal RNA (49 nucleotides) under uncultured alveolate. RNAcentral's name for it is "partial Eukaryotic large subunit ribosomal RNA". The record is from RNAcentral.
UGCCUUUAGUGUGUGUGUGUGUGGUGGGGGGGGGGGGGUUGUUGUGCGU